CCGUGUGUAGGCUAGGCAGGUCAAGUCGUCUGUUUUGGGACCAGAAGAUCGAAGGUUCGAAUCCUUCCACACGGACCA
Molecule: transfer RNA, 78 nt
Filed under: Ishigurovirus osborne
Lineage: Duplodnaviria; Heunggongvirae; Uroviricota; Caudoviricetes; Pantevenvirales; Straboviridae
Description: Aeromonas virus 65 tRNA-Pro
Rfam family: tRNA
About the family: Transfer RNA (tRNA) molecules are approximately 80 nucleotides in length.
Source: RNAcentral